AUUGAACGCUGGCGGCAGGCCUAACACAUGCCAGUCGAGCGGAUGAAGGGAGCUUUCUCCUGGAUUCAGCGGCGGACGGGUGAGUAAUGCCUAGGAAUCUGCCUGGUAGUGGGGGAUAACGUCCGGAAACGGGCGCUAAUACCGCAUACGUCCUGAGGGAGAAAGUGGGGGAUCUUCGGACCUCACGCUAUCAGAUGAGCCUAGGUCGGAUUAGCUAGUUGGUGGGGUGAAGGCCUACCAAGGCGACGAUCCGUAACUGGUCUGAGAGGAUGAUCAGUCACACUGGAACUGAGACACGGUCCAGACUCCUACGGGAGGCAGCAGUGGGGAAUAUUGGACAAUGGGCGAAAGCCUGAUCCAGCCAUGCCGCGUGUGUGAAGAAGGUCUUCGGAUUGUAAGGCACUUUAAGUUGGGAGGAAGGGCAGUAAGUUAAUACCUUGCUGUUUUGACGUUACCAACAGAAUAAGCACCGGCUAACUUCGUG
This 484-nucleotide ribosomal RNA is filed under the name uncultured bacterium. Its description in RNAcentral is "partial 16S ribosomal RNA". It matches the Rfam family "Bacterial small subunit ribosomal RNA", at positions 30 to 507 of the family's 1533-position model. The record is from RNAcentral.